RNAcentral lists this ribosomal RNA (540 nucleotides) under uncultured bacterium. RNAcentral describes it as "bacterial LSU rRNA". It matches the Rfam family "Bacterial large subunit ribosomal RNA", at positions 304 to 861 of the family's 2925-position model. The record is from RNAcentral.
GCCUGCUAGUGAUAGCAGCUUUGUUAGCAGAACGGAAUGGAAAGUCCGGCCGUAGUGGGUGACAGCCCCGUACACGUAAUGCAAGGUUGAAGACUCGAGUAGGGCGGGACACGUGCAAUCCUGCCUGAACAUGGGGGACCACCCUCCAAGCCUAAGUACUCCUUACCGACCGAUAGCGCACCAGUACCGUGAGGGAAAGGUGAAAAGCACCCCGACGAGGGGAUGAAAUAGAACCUGAAACCGGAUGCCUACAAACAGUCGGAGCCCGCAAGGGUGACGACGUACCUUUUGUAUAAUGGGUCUGCGACUUAGUCUGGCAGCAAGCUUAAGGCGAUAGCUGUAGGCGAAGCGAAAGCGAGUCUGAACAGGGCGUUCAGUUCGUCGGACUAGACCCGAAACCAGUCGAUCUAUCCAUGGCCAGGUUGAAAGCAGGGUAACACCUGCUGGAGGACCGAACCGGUGCCUGUUGAAAAAGUCUCGGAUGAGCUGUGGAUAGGGGGUGAAAGGCCAAUCAAGGCUGGAAUAGCUGGUUCUCCGACG